Molecule: transfer RNA, 90 nt
Filed under: Alphaproteobacteria bacterium
Lineage: Bacteria; Pseudomonadati; Pseudomonadota; Alphaproteobacteria
Description: tRNA-Ser
Rfam family: tRNA
About the family: Transfer RNA (tRNA) molecules are approximately 80 nucleotides in length. Their secondary structure includes four short double-helical elements and three loops (D, anti-codon, and T loops). Further hydrogen bonds mediate the characteristic L-shaped molecular structure. tRNAs have two regions of fundamental functional importance: the anti-codon, which is responsible for specific mRNA codon recognition, and the 3' end, to which the tRNAs corresponding amino acid is attached (by aminoacyl-tRNA synthetases). tRNAs cope with the degeneracy of the genetic code in two manners: having more than one tRNA (with a specific anti-codon) for a particular amino acid; and 'wobble' base-pairing, i.e. permitting non-standard base-pairing at the 3rd anti-codon position.
Source: RNAcentral
GGACAGGUGGGUGAGCGGCUUAAACCAGCGGAUUGCUAAUCCGCCAUACCCAACAGGGUAUCGAGGGUUCGAAUCCCUCCCUGUCCGCCA